UUUUGUGUAUCACUGAUUUGUGUGAGCAGAUGUGAUCCCUUCCGACUCCCUACGACCCUAUAUUCUUACUCUAUUCUACGACCCCACCAUUAUAUUAUUAUGCUUAUGAAUCACUCGCCGUUGCAGCUGUUGUUAAUGUGCACCUUUCAAUGCGUGCUGUUACUCGUUGUUGACAAUUCCUUUAUACGUUACUCACGUAAAACUAGAUAUUCUCUCUCGAACAAAAAUAAUGGUUUUUGGUGUACUCGUAUAUUAUACUUCAAAAAAUUAUCUUGUGAUUCGACGAAUCCUGAAGUGGCAAAUUUUUACAAAUACAACAAAAAACUUCAGAAGUAUGUGGUGUCAGCAUCGACAGCGUUAUUAAAAGAAUAAUAUUCGAAGCUACUAAAGUCCCCUUAAAUCAAGUAACUGAAGAACCAACAUUUACUUAUAGAUAGCCGACUAUGUAUAGACUAUGCAUACACAUAUGUUGCCUGGUCACCAUAUGCAGGUUGGGCAAUGUUUACAAAAUAUGGAUGUUUUAAUCCUCGUGAUAUCAAUCAAAAUUCAAAUUAUUUUUUGUUUAACGAUAAACUUUCGUAACUCGAGAGUCAUCUUAUGUUUUGCUGUAACUUUGCUGAAUUAUAUUUAUUGUACAGUUUUUGUAUCCAAACACAUGGUGUGCACCCGUAGUGUACAUUUGUGUACAAAUCGGUCAAAAUCAGGACCUCGAAAACUACACUUUUUCUCAUCAGUUCUAAUAUUAUCAAGCAGUAAGUCUAUAAUGAACUGGACUUCAUCAAUCAAUGCAGAACCAAGCAUAUUUAGUGAAGUUAUGGACUAUCUGAAAACUUAAAUUCCAGAAGAUAAACACUGCAAUUUAUGUUUAGAUUCCAUGUCUUUAAGAAAACAAAUUUUAUGGAGUGAUAAAUUUAAUAAAUUUAUUGGUUAUUGUGAUUUUGGUGGUGAAUUACAACUUGAGGGUACAGAUACUACUGCGACAGAGGCUCUAUUUUUUAUGCUUGUCUAAAUGAUGCUUGUCAUAACCUAAAAUUAGCCAGAAACAUACUUGGUUAUUGCAAUUACCACGGGAUUUAUUCGUUGGCAACAUUUAUCAAAUUUACAUGAAAUACAGCAAGAAACUAAGGUAAAAUUUGCUAAUAACUCUCAAAUUCUCAUGUUAAAUGGCAUAAUAAUAAAAUGAAAGUAUCUUAUGCUGCUUAGACUCUUUCUGCAUUCACAGCAACUGCAUUAAAUUUUUAAAUCAACAAGUUUCAAAAUUUGAAAAUAGAAAGGCAACUACAGAGUAUUGCCAAGUGCUUGACUAGAUAUUUGACUUAAAAUCUAUAUUCUCUUCUCUAAAAAUUAUAAAUCUCCAAUUACUAAAAACAACAUUCUUGAUCUAGAAAAUAAAAUUAUUCCAUUCGAUAAAUAUUUGUAUAGUAUAGGUACUUUGAAAUUCAAUGAUCAACUUUUACAUGUAACAAAUAAAAAAACAUUUAUUUACGGUUUUGCCAUUGCCGUUAAAUUACUACUCAGUAUAGCAAGAUCAAUAUUUGUAAAUGAUUUUAUACAUUUUAGUUAUAUCCUUAUUUAUACAUUUUCACAACCUCACCUAGAACUAUUACUUGAGCAAAUCAGACAAAGUGGUGGCUCAAAUAAUAAUUCAAAUGUGGUGCACCUAAAAAUUGCUAUUAAACAAAUUUUAAUAAAAAAUGUAUUUAAAUUAAAAAAUAAUGGCAACUAUAACACGUUUGAUGACGAUGUAAUGUUCAGAAUUUUAGACUUUAAGUGGAAUAAGAAAGAGCAAUUUAAUGACAACUGUCAAAUGAGUGAAGCUGAUCAAGAUAUUUUAAAUAGAUUUCAAUUAAUUAACAAUAUAAGUCCUUCUUUACAAAGUGCUAAGGAAAAUAUUUUAUACUACAUAUUAGGAUAUAUUAUUUUAAAAAUAAUUAAAAUACUUAAUUGUGAUUUUUGUGUAAAAAGUCUUUUCAAAGAAACAUCAGACCAUAAUUAUUGUUCAUCAACAUAGGGUAAAUUUGUAAAUUUAAGACAAAGUGAUGGCUCAAUUUUAAGUUAGGAAAUUUCUUUUAAAAUUAUAAUGGAGACUGAAAAAAUCCUUUUAAAUUUAACAAAUAAUCUAACAAACCUUAUAACAUACCUAAUUUAAAUAAAAAAUAAUGUAUCAAUGUACUAGUAAGUUAUGUC
Sipha flava (yellow sugarcane aphid) is the source of this 2187-nucleotide long non-coding RNA. RefSeq lists it as uncharacterized. NCBI's taxonomy places the organism in Eukaryota, Metazoa, Arthropoda, Insecta, Hemiptera, Aphididae. The record is from RefSeq and is a predicted model, not a curated record. The transcript is spliced from 4 exons.